GACGAACGCUGGCGGCGUGCUUAACACAUGCAAGUCGAACGGAAAGGCCCUGCUUUUGUGGGGUGCUCGAGUGGCGAACGGGUGAGUAACACGUGAGUAACCUGCCCUUGACUUUGGGAUAACUUCAGGAAACUGGGGCUAAUACCGGAUAGGAGUUCCUGCUGCAUGGUGGGGGUUGGAAAGUUUCGGCGGUUGGGGAUGGACUCGCGGCUUAUCAGCUUGUUGGUGGGGUAGUGGCUUACCAAGGCUUUGACGGGUAGCCGGCCUGAGAGGGUGACCGGCCACAUUGGGACUGAGAUACGGCCCAGACUCCUACGGGAGGCAGAAGUGGGGAAUAUUGCACAAUGGGCGGAAGCCUGAUGCAGCAACGCCGCGUGCGGGAUGACGGCCUUCGGGUUGUAAACCGCUUUCGCCUGUGACGAAGCGUGAGUGACGGUAAUGGGUAAAGAAGCACCGGCUAACUACGUG
This 468-nucleotide ribosomal RNA is filed under the name uncultured bacterium. Its description in RNAcentral is "partial 16S ribosomal RNA". It matches the Rfam family "Bacterial small subunit ribosomal RNA", at positions 28 to 507 of the family's 1533-position model. The record is from RNAcentral.